UACGGGGGGUGCGAGCGUUGUCCGGAAUCACUGGGCGUAAAGGGCGCGUAGGUGGCGGUCCAAGUCAACGGUGAAAGCUCGGGGCUCAACCCCGAGUCGGCCGUCGAUACUGGGUUGCUUGAGCACUGUAGAGGCAGAUGGAAUUCCGGGUGUAGCGGUGGAAUGCGUAGAGAUCCGGAAGAACACCGGUGGCGAAGGCGGUCUGCUGGGCAGUAGCUGACACUGAGGCGCGAAAGCGUGGGGAGCAAACAGG
RNAcentral lists this ribosomal RNA (253 nucleotides) under uncultured bacterium. RNAcentral's name for it is "partial 16S ribosomal RNA". It matches the Rfam family "Bacterial small subunit ribosomal RNA", at positions 524 to 776 of the family's 1533-position model. The record is from RNAcentral.